UGAAGCGGCAACAGCUCAAAUUUGAAAUCUGGCCCCCGGGUCCGAGUUGUAAUUUGUAGAGGAUGCUUUUGGCGAGGUGCCUUCCGAGUUCCCUGGAACGGGACGCCAUAGAGGGUGAGAGCCCCGUCUGGUCGGACACCGAGCCUCUGUAAAGCUCCUUCGACGAGUCGAGUAGUUUGGGAAUGCUGCUCAAAAUGGGAGGUAUAUGUCUUCUAAAGCUAAAUAUUGGCCAGAGACCGAUAGCGCACAAGUAGAGUGAUCGAAAGAUGAAAAGCACUUUGAAAAGAGGGUUAAAAAGUACGUGAAAUUGUUGAAAGGGAAGCGCCUAUGACCAGACUUGGGCCCGGUGAAUCAUCCAGCGUUCUCGCUGGUGCACUUUGCCGGGCACAGGCCAGCAUCAGUUUGGCGCGGGGGAGAAAGGCUCUGGGAAUGUGGCUCCUCCGGGAGUGUUAUAGCCCACUGCGUAAUACCCUGCGCCGGACUGAGGUACGCGCAUUGCAAGGAUGCUGGCGUAAUGGUCAUCAGCGACCCGUCUUGAAACACGGACCAAGGAGUCGUCUUCGUAUGCGAGUGUUCGGGUGUCAAACCCCUACGCGUAAUGAAAGUGAACGCAGGUGAGAGCUUCGGCGCAUCAUCGACCGAUCCUGAUGUUCUCGGAUGGAUUUGAGUAAGAGCAUACGGGGCCGGACCCGAAAGAAGGUGAACUAUGCCUGUAUAGGGUGAAGCCAGAGGAAACUCUGGUGGAGGCUCGCAGCGGUUCUGACGUGCGAAUCGAUCGUCAAAUAUGGGCAUGGGGGCGAAAGACUAAUCGAACCUUCUAGUAGCUGGUUUCCGCCGAAGUUUCCCUCAGGAUAGCAGUGUUGAACUCAGUUUUAUGAGGUAAAGCGAAUGAUUAGGGACUCGGGGGCGCUAUAUUGCCUUCAUCCAUUCUCAAACUUUAAAUAUGUAAGAAGCCCUUGUUACUUGAUUGAACGUGGGCAUUCGAAUGUAUCAACACUAGUGGGCCAUUUUUGGUAAGCAGAACUGGCGAUGCGGGAUGAACCGAACGCGAGGUUAAGGUGCCGGAGUGGACGCUCAUCAGACACCACAAAAGGUGUUAGUACAUCUUGACAGCAGGACGGUGGCCAUGGAAGUCGGAAUCCGCUAAGGACUGUGUAACAACUCACCUGCCGAAUGUACUAGCCCUGAAAAUGGAUGGCGCUCAAGCGUCCCACCCAUACCUCGCCCUCAGGGUAGAAACGAAGCCCUGAGGAGUAGGCGGACGUGGAGGUCAGUGACGAAGCC
RNAcentral lists this ribosomal RNA (1284 nucleotides) under Akanthomyces dipterigenus. RNAcentral describes it as "LSU rRNA". It matches the Rfam family "Eukaryotic large subunit ribosomal RNA", at positions 94 to 1410 of the family's 3401-position model. The record is from RNAcentral. Lineage: Eukaryota; Fungi; Ascomycota; Sordariomycetes; Hypocreales; Cordycipitaceae.